Molecule: unclassified non-coding RNA, 379 nt
Filed under: plant metagenome
Description: partial contains 5.8S ribosomal RNA, internal transcribed spacer 2, and large subunit ribosomal RNA
Rfam family: 5.8S ribosomal RNA (bases 1-106)
Source: RNAcentral
CGAACUGCGGUAAGUAAUGUGAAUUGCAGAAUUCAGUGAAUCAUCGAAUCUUUGAACGCACCUUGCGCUCCUUGGUAUUCCUUGGAGCAUGCCUGUUUGAGUAUCAUGAAAUCUUCAAAGUAAAUCUUUUGUUAACUCAAUUGGUUUCUACUUUGGUAUUGGAGGUCUUUGCAGCUUCACACCUGCUCCUCUUUGUUCAUUAGCUGGAUCUCAGUGUUAUGCUUGGUUCCACUCGGCGUGAUAAGUUAUCUAUCGCUGAGGACACUGUAAAAGGUGGCCAAGGUAAAUGCAGAUGAACCGCUUCUAAUAGUCCAUUGACUUGGACAAUACUUUUAUGAUCUGAUCUCAAAUCAGGUAGGACUACCCGCUGAACUUAAGC